AUGCGAUAAGUAAUGUGAAUUGCAGAAUUCAGUGAAUCAUCGAAUCUUUGAACGCACAUUGCGCCCCCUGGUAUUCCGGGGGGCAUGCCUGUCCGAGCGUCAUUACAACCCUCAAGCUCAGCUUGGUGUUGGGCCCCGCCGCCCCGGCGGGCCCUAAAGUCAGUGGCGGUGCCGUCCGGCUCCGAGCGUAGUAAUUCUUCUCGCUCUGGAGGUCCGGUCGUGUGCUCGCCAGCAACCCCCAAUUUUUUUCAGGUUGACCUCGGAUCAGGUAGGGAUACCCGCUGAACUUAA
This 291-nucleotide unclassified non-coding RNA is filed under the name uncultured Pseudogymnoascus. RNAcentral's name for it is "partial contains 5.8S ribosomal RNA, internal transcribed spacer 2, and large subunit ribosomal RNA". The stretch from base 1 to 102 matches the Rfam family "5.8S ribosomal RNA", at positions 53 to 154 of the family's 154-position model. The record is from RNAcentral. Lineage: Eukaryota; Fungi; Ascomycota; Leotiomycetes; Myxotrichaceae.